UGGGGAAUAUUGGACAAUGGGCGAAAGCCUGAUCCAGCCAUGCCGCGUGUGUGAAGAAGGUCUUCGGAUUGUAAAGCACUUUAAGUUGGGAGGAAGGGCAUUAACCUAAUACGUUAGUGUUUUGACGUUACCGACAGAAUAAGCACCGGCUAACUUCGUGCCAGCAGCCGCGGUAAUACGAAGGGUGCAAGCGUUAAUCGGAAUUACUGGGCGUAAAGCGCGCGUAGGUGGUUUGUUAAGUUGAAUGUGAAAGCCCCGGGCUCAACCUGGGAACUGCAUCCAAAACUGGCAAGCUAGAGUAUGGCAGAGGGUGGUGGAAUUUCCUGUGUAGCGGUGAAAUGCGUAGAUAUAGGAAGGAACACCAGUGGCGAAGGCGACCACCUGGGCUAAUACUGACACUGAGGUGCGAAAGCGUGGGGAGCAAACAGG
This 429-nucleotide ribosomal RNA is filed under the name Brucella melitensis. Its description in RNAcentral is "partial 16S ribosomal RNA". It matches the Rfam family "Bacterial small subunit ribosomal RNA", at positions 355 to 776 of the family's 1533-position model. RNAcentral also lists the same sequence under 3 other names. Lineage: Bacteria; Pseudomonadati; Pseudomonadota; Alphaproteobacteria; Hyphomicrobiales; Brucellaceae. The record is from RNAcentral.